This 78-nucleotide microRNA precursor is filed under the name Medicago truncatula (barrel medic). Its description in RNAcentral is "MIR2629 microRNA precursor family". It matches the Rfam family "MIR2629 microRNA precursor family". Lineage: Eukaryota; Viridiplantae; Streptophyta; Magnoliopsida; Fabales; Fabaceae. The record is from Rfam by way of RNAcentral.
UACUGAGGUUUUCCUCGGCAGUUAACUGCAGCCGGAUUUUUAAUUUAAUUUCUCGGCAGUUAACUGUCGAAGGGGCAA